Molecule: long non-coding RNA, 3332 nt
Filed under: Sus scrofa (pig)
Lineage: Eukaryota; Metazoa; Chordata; Mammalia; Artiodactyla; Suidae
Description: lncRNA (multiple genes)
Source: RNAcentral
UUUUGGGAACAAGUGUUUAUUAGCAUACAGCAAUAGUUCAGCCUAAACAAGCGUUUUAAUGCUAGUAUUGAAACUUGUUGAAACUUUACCUAAAUUCCAAAUUAUCCAAGUUGGCUAUUCAAAAAAACCAUGACCAUCUGGUAUAUAAAGUAAGGAAGAGAGGAAUUCCCUUUAUUUUAAAAAAGGAAUUUAGUUUCUUAAUGGAUAUAGGAAGAAUUGCAAAAUCAUCACAAAUUUUUCUGAAUAUAACUAUAUAGAACUUUCUAGAAAUAAUAAAUCAAUUUUUAAGGAUCCAAAUUCCUUGAGUUUUAGAGGUAAAUACAUCUAAGAGCUAUAUUCCAAAAAUGGUCUGAUAGCUUAACUACUAUGGACUGAGGCUUUACUUUAGGGUGCUUUACCUAUUGCUUUGAAGGAUGCAGUGCUCACUAAAAUGGUCACAAAAGUAACCCAACAAAGGCUUUAACUUGCUAUUUGUACCAUAGGCCUAUUUUGGUGACAAGUACCCCUCCCUACAGAUAGUCAGAUUUUCAGACUCCAAAAUAAUAGUUUCUUUAUUCAAUUAGUCAAGUUGUUUUCAGAUUCUAAACCUGCCUAAAUUAUUGUUUUAAAUUAUAAAAUAUUGAAAUGUGAGAAAAGUUUCAGACAUACUAUUUUUGCUUACUGUUCUAAAUGAAUCAUUGUGACAGACCACAUGCGAUGAAUUCAUACAUUUGUGUCGUGUUUAUAUUUUGAUAACUAUAGCCAUGUUUUUGAACUGCAAUGUCCAUAAUCAGUAAAUGUUUUUGCAAUUAUCAACGUGAAUUCCACAAUUUUAACUUUUUGAUAAAUUUGAUGUGAUUAUUGGGGUACAGAGGAAACUCAUCAUUUAGUUAUACUAGUCUUAGAUUUCCUUUAGCAAAUCUUGAGCAAUACAUAUUUUCAUUGUUUUUUUACUUUUCUGAUUAAAACCCUUCAAUAACCUCCCUUGCCUCAGCAAGGCUCUCUAACUGUGGGAAGGUACCCGUGGGGAUGACACGCAUGCUUGGUAGAGGAAGCCAAAGGGUUAACAAAAUGAAUCUUCUCAUGUGUUCAAAUUAUUAAUAUCUUGAGAAAAAAAAUUUAAAUGUAAGUAUUUUAACAGUAAGGUAUUAUGGAACAAAUGAUAAAAUUAGUAUUUUAAAGGUAUACAACUGACCCUUGAAUAAGGGGGUUAGGGGAACUCACUCAACUUGCAGUUGAAAAUCCAUGUAUAACUUUAUACAGUCAGCCUUUCACAUCUGCAGUUCUGCAUCCUCAGAUUCAACCAACUGUAGAUGAUACAGUACUGUAGUAUGUAUUUAUUGAAAAAAAAUAAGUGGACUCACUCAGUUCAAACCCAUGUUGUUCAGGGGACAACUGUAUUUUAUCAUUUGCUUUUUAGGGCAGCACCCUCAGCAUAUUAAGGUUCCCAGUCUUGGGGUCAAAUCAGACUUGCAACUGCCAGCCUAUGUCAGACACAGUAACUCGGGAUCCAUGCCACGUCUGCGACCGACAUCAUAGCUCACGGCAAUGCCAGAUCCUUUACCCACUGAGCAAGGAUCUGGUUGUUGCUGUGAGCUGUGGUGUAGGUUGCAGACCUAGCUCGGAUCUGACUUUGCUGGGUCUGUGGCAUAGGCUGGCAGCUGUAGCUCGCAUAACACCCCUAGCCUGGGAACCUCCACGUGCUGAGGGAGUGGCCCCAAAACAAGCAAAAAAAUAAUAAUAAUAAUAAUAUUUAUCUUAUAUCCACAUGUAAACCAGUAAUAAUAAUAACUGUUUAGCAUAUACAUUGGGUCUGUUCACACUAUUUAGUAAUCUUCUUUUACUUAAUCAUGAACAACUUUCUAGCUCAUUAAAUAUUCAGUACAUUAUUUUAAAUAGCUGCACAGUAUUUCGCUCAGCACGUUAUUUAAUCCGUCUUUUAUUGUUGGACAUUUAAAAAACUCUUCCAACCUUUUAAUAUUGUAAACAACACUAACGAACACAUGGAUCACCUCUUAAAUGAGUAUAUUUAUUAGUAGUUUUUAUAAUAUUAGAAAAUUGAAUGAGACUCCAUUAAUCUUUUAUUGUGCUAAAAUCCUAGAAAUAUGACUUCCAUAUUCUAUUUUAUGUGAAAUAUAUAUAUUCAUAUAACUGAGAAAAAAAUCAACUAUACAUUGCUUCUCUGCAUAAAAUACUUGAAUUUGAUAUUUAAGCUGGUAUUCUGAAGUUCUGGAUGUCCUAGUCCACCUGCUUAUUGUUUCUUAAAUUUUUUUCAUAUUUUGCAUACAUUUAUAAAGGUUAAUAUACAUGAAUAAAUAAAGUGAAUUAAUGAUAGAAAUGUUAUACUCCUCAUCUGUGUUAAGUGAGAGAAAAAGGUUAAGAGCUAUAGGUUUAAACUGUUCAAAUCAUGGAAAAGAGGGAUGAUGCCAGACAGUUAAAGUCAGGAAACAGCACACACAAAAGGUUUGACCUGCUUUUUAAAAAGUAGAGGAAUUAGUUGGGGGAAAGUUGGGGUGGUGAAAGGGCAUAAAUAAAGGAACAGAGAUAGAAAAACAGAUGGAACAGGACUAGUUUCCUUGAAGGAAAAUGGAAAAACUCAAGAAAAGGUUGCAACACGACCAUGAAGUACAAGUUAAGAGGUCUGAAUUUUAUCCUAUUGGCAAAAGCAGUGUUUUACUAAGAAUAAAUUAGUGGGAUAUAUUACAGUGGGUAAAAUAAUUACAGGCAAAAAACUCCUCAGCUAAAGUGCUAACAGAGUAAGUGAGAAAUACGGCGGGAAUUCCAAGGAUGGAGGAGUCAAAGACAACUGUGGUUCGUUUGGGUAAAUGACAAAUGUGAACAUGUUCAUUGUCUCUUGGAGCUUUUACUAGCUAAACCAAGCAAGUGAAAAACAAUUUCAGAGCCAUCAAAGCACAAGUCAUAAACAAACGCCUGAUCAUCACACAUAUACCUAUUAGCCAAUCAUUUAAACAUUUUAUGUUCUAAACGGUCUCAGAUGGAGAUUCUAAUCAUGAGUCAGAUUCUUAAAAAUACUCAUUUCUAUCUACAAAGGUCAUAUAGGCUGAGGCACAUACAACUGUUCUCUCAAAGUAUGGAAUAAAGUUUAAUCUGUAGAUUAAAGUAGAGCUUAAACAGCCAUAAGAUCUGGUUCCUAUAAACUUUGAUUCUUAAGCUGUGAUUCCCCCUCUUGUAUAUUUGAUCACAGCCAUCCAGAUCUUCUCGCUGCUCUUUUAGGUAAACACCAAAAACAUUUCAGCCUCAAGGGCUUUGUAGUUGGGAGUUCCUCUGCUUGAAAGGCUCUCUUCCCAGAUACCCAAUGGUUUGCUCCCUUACUUUUAGGUCUUUAUUCAGAU